Molecule: ribosomal RNA, 68 nt
Filed under: Bacillus licheniformis
Lineage: Bacteria; Bacillati; Bacillota; Bacilli; Caryophanales; Bacillaceae
Also listed under: 2 other names
Description: partial 16S ribosomal RNA
Rfam family: Bacterial small subunit ribosomal RNA
Source: RNAcentral
UUCAUGGAGAGUUUGAUCCUGGCUCAGGACGAACGCUGGCGGCGUGCCUAAUACAUGCAAGUCGAGCG